AGGAUCCAGAAGAUUAUGUUACUGCCAUCCU
Molecule: non-coding RNA, 31 nt
Filed under: Rattus norvegicus (Norway rat)
Lineage: Eukaryota; Metazoa; Chordata; Mammalia; Rodentia; Muridae
Source: RNAcentral